UGCACAACAUGAGAAAGGACAUGUUUUAAAAAAAGCAGAGUUUUUUGACAAACGGAAUCAGGAUGACGCAAAGCCAAAAAUAAAUGAAGCACAAGAGGAUCUGGAGGAGGCAGAUACAGACACAGGGGGAUCUGCAAACAUAACACAGAAAGACCAAGAGGAGAGGAUACAAGUGACACAGGACGAAAAGGAUGAGAAGACAGAACUGACACAGGGAGACAUGGAGGAGGAGACAGCAGAGAAUACACAACAUGAGAAAGGACAUGUUUUAAAAAAAGCAGAGUUUUUUGACAAAUGGAAUCAGGAUGACUCAAAGACAAAAAUAAAUGAAGCACAAGAGGAUCUGAAGGAGGCAGAUACAGACACAGGGGGUUCUGCAAACAUAACACAGAAAGACAAGGAGGAGAGGACACAAGUGAGACAGGACGAAAAGGAUGAGAAGACAGAACUGACACAGGGAGACAUAGAGGAGAAAACAGUGGCGAAUGCACAACAUGGGAAAGGUAACAUGAAGGUGUAUAGUACUUUAGGUC
Molecule: non-coding RNA, 533 nt
Organism: Lepisosteus oculatus (spotted gar)
Lineage: Eukaryota; Metazoa; Chordata; Actinopteri; Semionotiformes; Lepisosteidae
Source: RefSeq, a predicted model, not a curated record